UACAGAGGUCUCAAGCGUUGUUCGGAUUCAUUGGGCGUAAAGGGUGCGUAGGCGGCGCGGUAAGUCGGGUGUGAAAUCUCGGGGCUUAACUCCGAAACUGCAUUCGAUACUGCCGUGCUUGAGGACUGGAGAGGAGACUGGAAUUUACGGUGUAGCGGUGAAAUGCGUAGAUAUCGUAAGGAAGACCAGUGGCGAAGGCGGGUCUCUGGGCCGUAACUGACGCUGAGGAGCGAAAGCGUGGGGAGCGAACAGG
Molecule: ribosomal RNA, 253 nt
Filed under: uncultured bacterium
Lineage: Bacteria
Description: partial 16S ribosomal RNA
Rfam family: Bacterial small subunit ribosomal RNA
Source: RNAcentral